GACGAACGCUGGCGGCGUGCUUAACACAUGCAAGUCGAACGCUGAAGCUCAGCUUUUGUUGGGUGGAUGAGUGGCGAACGGGUGAGUAACACGUGAGUAACCUGCCGCCUUCUUUGGGAUAACGCCCGGAAACGGGUGCUAAUACUGGAUAUUCACUGGUCUUCGCAUGGGGGUUGGUGGAAAGGGUUUUUCUGGUGGGGGAUGGGCUCGCGGCCUAUCAGCUUGUUGGUGGGGUGAUGGCCUACCAAGGCUUUGACGGGUAGCCGGCCUGAGAGGGUGACCGGUCACAUUGGGACUGAGAUACGGCCCAGACUCCUACGGGAGGCAGCAGUGGGGAAUAUUGCACAAUGGGCGCAAGCCUGAUGCAGCGACGCCGCGUGAGGGAUGGAGGCCUUCGGGUUGUGAACCUCUUUCGCUCAUGGUCAAGCCGCAACAAUGGUUGUGGUGAGGGUAGUGGGUAAAGAAGCGCCGGCUAACUACGUG
Molecule: ribosomal RNA, 483 nt
Filed under: uncultured bacterium
Lineage: Bacteria
Description: partial 16S ribosomal RNA
Rfam family: Bacterial small subunit ribosomal RNA
Source: RNAcentral